Molecule: ribosomal RNA, 1133 nt
Filed under: Agaricus sp. JMCR.50
Lineage: Eukaryota; Fungi; Basidiomycota; Agaricomycetes; Agaricales; Agaricaceae
Description: eukaryotic LSU rRNA
Rfam family: Eukaryotic large subunit ribosomal RNA
Source: RNAcentral
GGAGGAAAAGAAACUAACAAGGAUUCCCCUAGUAACUGCGAGUGAAGCGGGAAAAGCUCAAAUUUAAAAUCUGGCGGUCUCUGGCCGUCCGAGUUGUAAUCUAGAGAAGUGUUGCCCGUGCUGGACCGUGUACAAGUCUCCUGGGAUGGGGCGUCAUAGAGGGUGAGAAUCCCGUCUUUGACACGGACUACCAGUACAUUGUGGUAUGCUCUCAAAGAGUCGAGUUGUUUGGGAAUGCAGCUCAAAAUGGGUGGUAAAUUCCAUCUAAAGCUAAAUAUUGGCGAGAGACCGAUAGCGAACAAGUACCGUGAGGGAAAGAUGAAAAGAACUUUGGAAAGAGAGUUAAACAGUACGUGAAAUUGCUGAAAGGGAAACGCUUGAAGUCAGUCACGUUGGCCGGGGAUCAGCCUUGCUUUUGCUUGGUGUACUUCCUGGUUGACGGGUCAGCAUCAAUUUUGACCGCUGGAUAAAGGCUUGGGGAAUGUGGCAGCUUCGGCUGUGUUAUAGCCCCUGGUUGCAUACAGUGGUUGGGAUUGAGGAACUCAGCACGCCGCAAGGCCGGGUUUCGACCACGUUCGUGCUUAGGAUGCUGGCAUAAUGGCUUUAAGCGACCCGUCUUGAAACACGGACCAAGGAGUCUAACAUGCCUGCGAGUAUUUGGGUGGAAAACCCAAGUGCGCAAUGAAAGUGAAAGUUGAGAUCCCUGUCGUGGGGAGCAUCGACGCCCGGACCAGAACUUUUGGGACGGAUCCGCGGUGGAGCAUGUAUGUUGGGACCCGAAAGAUGGUGAACUAUGCCUGAAUAGGGUGAAGCCAGAGGAAACUCUGGUGGAGGCUCGUAGCGAUUCUGACGUGCAAAUCGAUCGUCAAAUUUGGGUAUAGGGGCGAAAGACUAAUCGAACCAUCUAGUAGCUGGUUCCUGCCGAAGUUUCCCUCAGGAUAGCAGAAACUCAUAUCAGAUUUAUGUGGUAAAGCGAAUGAUUAGAGGCCUUGGGGUUGAAACAACCUUAACCUAUUCUCAAACUUUAAAUAUGUAAGAACGAGCCGUUUCUUGAUUGAACCGCUCGGCGAUUGAGAGUUUCUAGUGGGCCAUUUUUGGUAAGCAGAACUGGCGAUGCGGGAUGAACCGAACGU